UUAAGCGACUAAGCGUACACGGUGGAUGCCCUGGCAGUCAGAGGCGAUGAAGGACGUGCUAAUCUGCGAUAAGCGUCGGUAAGGUGAUAUGAACCGUUAUAACCGGCGAUUUCCGAAUGGGGAAACCCAGUGUGAUUCGUCACACUAUCAUUAACUGAAUCCAUAGGUUAAUGAGGCGAACCGGGGGAACUGAAACAUCUAAGUACCCCGAGGAAAAGAAAUCAACCGAGAUUCCCCCAGUAGCGGCGAGCGAACGGGGAGGAGCCCAGAGCCUGAAUCAGUGUGUGUGUUAGUGGAAGCGUCUGGAAAGGCGCGCGAUACAGGGUGACAGCCCCGUACACAAAAAUGCACAUAUUGUGAGCUCGAUGAGUAGGGCGGGACACGUGGUAUCCUGUCUGAAUAUGGGGGGACCAUCCUCCAAGGCUAAAUACUCCUGACUGACCGAUAGUGAACCAGUACCGUGAGGGAAAGGCGAAAAGAACCCCGGCGAGGGGAGUGAAAAAGAACCUGAAACCGUGUACGUACAAGCAGUGGGAGCACGCUUAGGCGUGUGACUGCGUACCUUUUGUAUAAUGGGUCAGCGACUUAUAUUCUGUAGCAAGGUUAACCGAAUAGGGGAGCCGAAGGGAAACCGAGUCUUAACUGGGCGUUAAGUUGCAGGGUAUAGACCCGAAACCCGGUGAUCUAGCCAUGGGCAGGUUGAAGGUUGGGUAACACUAACUGGAGGACCGAACCGACUAAUGUUGAAAAAUUAGCGGAUGACUUGUGGCUGGGGGUGAAAGGCCAAUCAAACCGGGAGAUAGCUGGUUCUCCCCGAAAGCUAUUUAGGUAGCGCCUCGUGAAUUCAUCUCCGGGGGUAGAGCACUGUUUCGGCAAGGGGGUCAUCCCGACUUACCAACCCGAUGCAAACUGCGAAUACCGGAGAAUGUUAUCACGGGAGACACACGGCGGGUGCUAACGUCCGUCGUGAAGAGGGAAACAACCCAGACCGCCAGCUAAGGUCCCAAAGUCAUGGUUAAGUGGGAAACGAUGUGGGAAGGCCCAGACAGCCAGGAUGUUGGCUUAGAAGCAGCCAUCAUUUAAAGAAAGCGUAAUAGCUCACUGGUCGAGUCGGCCUGCGCGGAAGAUGUAACGGGGCUAAACCAUGCACCGAAGCUGCGGCAGCGACGCUUAUGCGUUGUUGGGUAGGGGAGCGUUCUGUAAGCCUGUGAAGGUGUGCUGUGAGGCAUGCUGGAGGUAUCAGAAGUGCGAAUGCUGACAUAAGUAACGAUAAAGCGGGUGAAAAGCCCGCUCGCCGGAAGACCAAGGGUUCCUGUCCAACGUUAAUCGGGGCAGGGUGAGUCGACCCCUAAGGCGAGGCCGAAAGGCGUAGUCGAUGGGAAACAGGUUAAUAUUCCUGUACUUGGUGUUACUGCGAAGGGGGGACGGAGAAGGCUAUGUUGGCCGGGCGACGGUUGUCCCGGUUUAAGCGUGUAGGCUGGUUUUCCAGGCAAAUCCGGAAAAUCAAGGCUGAGGCGUGAUGACGAGGCACUACGGUGCUGAAGCAACAAAUGCCCUGCUUCCAGGAAAAGCCUCUAAGCAUCAGGUAACAUCAAAUCGUACCCCAAACCGACACAGGUGGUCAGGUAGAGAAUACCAAGGCGCUUGAGAGAACUCGGGUGAAGGAACUAGGCAAAAUGGUGCCGUAACUUCGGGAGAAGGCACGCUGAUAUGUAGGUGAAGUCCCUCGCGGAUGGAGCUGAAAUCAGUCGAAGAUACCAGCUGGCUGCAACUGUUUAUUAAAAACACAGCACUGUGCAAACACGAAAGUGGACGUAUACGGUGUGACGCCUGCCCGGUGCCGGAAGGUUAAUUGAUGGGGUCAGCGCAAGCGAAGCUCUUGAUCGAAGCCCCGGUAAACGGCGGCCGUAACUAUAACGGUCCUAAGGUAGCGAAAUUCCUUGUCGGGUAAGUUCCGACCUGCACGAAUGGCGUAAUGAUGGCCAGGCUGUCUCCACCCGAGACUCAGUGAAAUUGAACUCGCUGUGAAGAUGCAGUGUACCCGCGGCAAGACGGAAAGACCCCGUGAACCUUUACUAUAGCUUGACACUGAACAUUGAGCCUUGAUGUGUAGGAUAGGUGGGAGGCUUUGAAGUGUGGACGCCAGUCUGCAUGGAGCCGACCUUGAAAUACCACCCUUUAAUGUUUGAUGUUCUAACGUUGACCCGUGAUCCGGGUUGCGGACAGUGUCUGGUGGGUAGUUUGACUGGGGCGGUCUCCUCCUAAAGAGUAACGGAGGAGCACGAAGGUUGGCUAAUCCUGGUCGGACAUCAGGAGGUUAGUGCAAUGGCAUAAGCCAGCUUGACUGCGAGCGUGACGGCGCGAGCAGGUGCGAAAGCAGGUCAUAGUGAUCCGGUGGUUCUGAAUGGAAGGGCCAUCGCUCAACGGAUAAAAGGUACUCCGGGGAUAACAGGCUGAUACCGCCCAAGAGUUCAUAUCGACGGCGGUGUUUGGCACCUCGAUGUCGGCUCAUCACAUCCUGGGGCUGAAGUAGGUCCCAAGGGUAUGGCUGUUCGCCAUUUAAAGUGGUACGCGAGCUGGGUUUAGAACGUCGUGAGACAGUUCGGUCCCUAUCUGCCGUGGGCGCUGGAGAACUGAGGGGGGCUGCUCCUAGUACGAGAGGACCGGAGUGGACGCAUCACUGGUGUUCGGGUUGUCAUGCCAAUGGCACUGCCCGGUAGCUAAAUGCGGAAGAGAUAAGUGCUGAAAGCAUCUAAGCACGAAACUUGCCCCGAGAUGAGUUCUCCCUGACUCCUUGAGAGUCCUGAAGGAACGUUGAAGACGACGACGUUGAUAGGCCGGGUGUGUAAGCGCAGCGAUGCGUUGAGCUAACCGGUACUAAUGAACCGUGAGGCUUAACCUU
RNAcentral lists this ribosomal RNA (2902 nucleotides) under Escherichia coli. RNAcentral's name for it is "23S ribosomal RNA". It matches the Rfam family "Bacterial large subunit ribosomal RNA". Lineage: Bacteria; Pseudomonadati; Pseudomonadota; Gammaproteobacteria; Enterobacterales; Enterobacteriaceae. The record is from RNAcentral.